RNAcentral lists this transfer RNA (83 nucleotides) under Intestinozyma alai. Its description in RNAcentral is "Candida alai tRNA-Ser". Lineage: Eukaryota; Fungi; Ascomycota; Pichiomycetes; Serinales; Debaryomycetaceae. The record is from RNAcentral.
GAUUAACAUUGUACAUUGGUAUACUAAACUAUUUGCUAUAUAGUUCUCUAAAAGAGAUCAGAGUUCGAUUCUCUGGUUAAUCG